GGGCAAUGCUUUGAAGAGAUGAUGGAUUUUGUCAUCAUUUUGCCUAAAUAACUUCCACUAUUAAAUUUUUGUUUAGCAAUCAACUUGUCACCUUCUACCCUAUUCUGCUAGCUUUCUAUGAAAGACAUAAAACACACUUAAGAAGGUGGACAAACUACUGAUAGAAUGCUCAUGUUCAAACUAAAAAAUGCUAGGAGGGGAACAUAAAAAUACCAGUUCAAGCUGCUGCUUACCACUAGAUGUCCUACAGUGGUACAAAUGGCUAAGGUAAGUCAAGUCUGGCACAAUGUUGUCAUUGUGAGAUAUUCAGUGAUGUUUCUUUUGUUGUCACAACAGACAUAGGAGCUACUUUUGUCUCCUUUCUUCACACUGUGUUUGGCCCAGAUCUUUGAAUGAAAGCGGGCUCCAAAGGGCGUUGAUCUCUGGACUGAUGUGCCUAAACAUAUUGAUGCAUCUGCUGCCAGGCCUCCACCCCAUUCCCUGAGUGUUCUGCAUUGUCACUUCUCUGCACAAGUCAGCUGGCUUCACCUUGUUGACUUCAGCACAUUGUGGAGCAAGCUGCUUGUCACCAGCUGCAGAGUAUGUGUGAAUAUUCGCCCCACUGCACCUGCAAGGUGUAUUGGAAUGAGGCUAAGCUGCCACCUCUCACACCCAUGAGAUGAGCAAGCUACUCCCAGGCAACAGACUGAAGUAUUCAAAGCUGUGGUAGUGCCUCCAAACAAACCAUGCCAGCUGGAAAUGAUCUCUGUCAUCUUCGUGGGAUACACCACUAUGAUGUGAUGUCACCUGUCUCUGUGGGUUUGAGAGUUAAAAUGCAUUCAGUAUUUAGGGACUUAUGAAAAUAUUCAUGGCAAUUGUGAAAGGGUGGUGUAGCUUUAUAAAAGUACCUAAAGACAAUCAUUUAUGACUCUAUUGAAAGAAAUGGCUUUUCCCUUCACAAUUGAGACUGACAUAGAUUAAUUUAUUUCUUUGCCCUUUACCAAGGAUCACAUUGACUUUAUAUCAGGUUCUUUGCAGUGCUAGCCAGCCAUUUUAAGCCUGG
This 1042-nucleotide long non-coding RNA is filed under the name Cyanistes caeruleus (blue tit). Its description in RNAcentral is "lncRNA (ENSCCEG00000001982.1)". The record is from RNAcentral. Lineage: Eukaryota; Metazoa; Chordata; Aves; Passeriformes; Paridae.